This 296-nucleotide ribosomal RNA is filed under the name Giardia duodenalis. RNAcentral's name for it is "Giardia intestinalis partial 18S ribosomal RNA". It matches the Rfam family "Eukaryotic small subunit ribosomal RNA", at positions 1 to 383 of the family's 1831-position model. The record is from RNAcentral. Lineage: Eukaryota; Fornicata; Diplomonadida; Hexamitidae.
UCAUCCGGUCGAUCCUGCCGGAAUCCGACGCUCUCCCCAAGGACACAAGCCAUGCAUGCCCGCGCACCCGGGAAGGCGGCGGACGGCUCAGGACAACGGUUGCACCCCCCGCGGCGGUCCCUGCUAGCCGGACACCGCUGGCAACCCGGCGCCAAAACGUGCGCGCAAGGGCGGGCGCCCGCGGGCGAGCAGCGUGACGCACCGACGGCCCGCCCGGGCUUCCGGGGCAUCACCCGGUCGGCGCGGUCGCGGCGCGCCGAGGGCCCGACGCCUGGCGGAGAAUCAGGGUUCGACUA